AAGAAGAGAGCUACACGCCGGUGAGACGCCGUCGCCGAUAGCUCCCAACAAGAAAAGAAAAGUCCACCAACAUGGAUCACACGGCCGGUUAUACGUCGUCGCCGAUAGACCCCAUCGAGCGGACCCAAAAGCCUGAAAGUUUCAGCCGGUGAGACGCCGUCGCCAAAAACUAACAAAAGAAGAGAAGCCAAACUAGAAAAAAGAACCGAGUUCGCCAAAGCAGAGCCCACGAGGAAGGGCAGCGGCACAGGCGCAACCAGCCCUUCCACCGAACGCCACUCCUGUAGAAAAAAGAACCGAGUUCACAUCUAUGAUUCUAAUAUGUGUAUGAUAAGUGUUUGACAAAAAAAUAGAGAUUGACAUGUCUUAAUUGUGCCUCUUUGCCUCGACUACUAUUGCCAAUAAAAAAACUACAUAAAUUAUGAGUUUAUAUAUCUACAUAUAAUUAAAAUAAAAGCUACUGCUGACUGCUGCUUGUUUUCUUGCUUCACUUUUUUUUUUUAAUCAUGCGAAGUUAUACUUAUAGAUUAAUAUAUUUAAUGAGGAUUAGGAAUCCUCAAACCUCAAAAAGUUGCGCCUCAUGAGCCCCAAGUAUUCUAAAAGUUGCAGC
This 610-nucleotide long non-coding RNA is filed under the name Salvia miltiorrhiza (redroot sage). RNAcentral's name for it is "long non-coding RNA (SMIL_LNC004803)". The record is from RNAcentral. Lineage: Eukaryota; Viridiplantae; Streptophyta; Magnoliopsida; Lamiales; Lamiaceae.